Molecule: ribosomal RNA, 253 nt
Filed under: uncultured bacterium
Lineage: Bacteria
Description: partial 16S ribosomal RNA
Rfam family: Bacterial small subunit ribosomal RNA
Source: RNAcentral
UACGUAGGGUCCGAGCGUUGUCCGGAAUUAUUGGGCGUAAAGGGCUCGUAGGCGGUUUGUCGCGUCGGGAGUGAAAACACGGGGCUUAACCCCGUGCCUGCUUCCGAUACGGGCAGACUAGAGGUAUGCAGGGGAGAACGGAAUUCCUGGUGUAGCGGUGAAUUGCGCAGAUAUCAGGAGGAACACCGGUGGCGAAGGCGGUUCUCUGGGCAUUACCUGACGCUGAGGAGCGAAAGUGUGGGGAGCGAACAGG